This 2906-nucleotide ribosomal RNA is filed under the name Salmonella enterica. RNAcentral describes it as "23S ribosomal RNA". It matches the Rfam family "Bacterial large subunit ribosomal RNA". RNAcentral also lists the same sequence under 2 other names. The record is from RNAcentral. Lineage: Bacteria; Pseudomonadati; Pseudomonadota; Gammaproteobacteria; Enterobacterales; Enterobacteriaceae.
GGUUAAGCGACUAAGCGUACACGGUGGAUGCCCUGGCAGUCAGAGGCGAUGAAGGACGUGCUAAUCUGCGAUAAGCGCCGGUAAGGUGAUAUGAACCGUUAUAACCGGCGAUUUCCGAAUGGGGAAACCCAGUGUGAUUCGUCACACUAUCAUUAACUGAAUCCAUAGGUUAAUGAGGCGAACCGGGGGAACUGAAACAUCUAAGUACCCCGAGGAAAAGAAAUCAACCGAGAUUCCCCCAGUAGCGGCGAGCGAACGGGGAGGAGCCCAGAGCCUGAAUCAGCAUGUGUGUUAGUGGAAGCGUCUGGAAAGGCGCGCGAUACAGGGUGACAGCCCCGUACACAAAAGCGCAUGUGCUGUGAGCUCGAUGAGUAGGGCGGGACACGUGGUAUCCUGUCUGAAUAUGGGGGGACCAUCCUCCAAGGCUAAAUACUCCUGACUGACCGAUAGUGAACCAGUACCGUGAGGGAAAGGCGAAAAGAACCCCGGCGAGGGGAGUGAAAAAGAACCUGAAACCGUGUACGUACAAGCAGUGGGAGCACCCUUCGGGGUGUGACUGCGUACCUUUUGUAUAAUGGGUCAGCGACUUAUAUUCUGUAGCAAGGUUAACCGUAUAGGGGAGCCGGAGGGAAACCGAGUCUUAACCGGGCGUUAAGUUGCAGGGUAUAGACCCGAAACCCGGUGAUCUAGCCAUGGGCAGGUUGAAGGUUGGGUAACACUAACUGGAGGACCGAACCGACUAAUGUUGAAAAAUUAGCGGAUGACCUGUGGCUGGGGGUGAAAGGCCAAUCAAACCGGGAGAUAGCUGGUUCUCCCCGAAAGCUAUUUAGGUAGCGCCUCGUGAAUUCAUCUCCGGGGGUAGAGCACUGUUUCGGCUAGGGGGCCAUCCCGGCUUACCAACCCGAUGCAAACUGCGAAUACCGGAGAAUGUUAUCACGGGAGACACACGGCGGGUGCUAACGUCCGUCGUGAAGAGGGAAACAACCCAGACCGCCAGCUAAGGUCCCAAAGUCAUGGUUAAGUGGGAAACGAUGUGGGAAGGCCCAGACAGCCAGGAUGUUGGCUUAGAAGCAGCCAUCAUUUAAAGAAAGCGUAAUAGCUCACUGGUCGAGUCGGCCUGCGCGGAAGAUGUAACGGGGCUAAACCAUGCACCGAAGCUGCGGCAGCGACGCUGAUGCGUUGUUGGGUAGGGGAGCGUUCUGUAAGCCUGCGAAGGUGACCUGUGAGGGUUGCUGGAGGUAUCAGAAGUGCGAAUGCUGACAUAAGUAACGAUAAAGCGGGUGAAAAGCCCGCUCGCCGGAAGACCAAGGGUUCCUGUCCAACGUUAAUCGGGGCAGGGUGAGUCGACCCCUAAGGCGAGGCCGAAAGGCGUAGUCGAUGGGAAACGGGUUAAUAUUCCCGUACUUGGUGUUACUGCGAAGGGGGGACGGAGAAGGCUAUGUUGGCCGGGCGACGGUUGUCCCGGUUUAAGCGUGUAGGUGUGUGUUCCAGGUAAAUCCGGUUCACUUUAACACUGAGGCGUGAUGACGAGGCACUACGGUGCUGAAGCAACAAAUGCCCUGCUUCCAGGAAAAGCCUCUAAGCAUCAGGUAACAUCAAAUCGUACCCCAAACCGACACAGGUGGUCAGGUAGAGAAUACCAAGGCGCUUGAGAGAACUCGGGUGAAGGAACUAGGCAAAAUGGUGCCGUAACUUCGGGAGAAGGCACGCUGACACGUAGGUGAAGUGAUUUACUCACGGAGCUGAAGUCAGUCGAAGAUACCAGCUGGCUGCAACUGUUUAUUAAAAACACAGCACUGUGCAAACACGAAAGUGGACGUAUACGGUGUGACGCCUGCCCGGUGCCGGAAGGUUAAUUGAUGGGGUCAGCGCAAGCGAAGCUCCUGAUCGAAGCCCCGGUAAACGGCGGCCGUAACUAUAACGGUCCUAAGGUAGCGAAAUUCCUUGUCGGGUAAGUUCCGACCUGCACGAAUGGCGUAAUGAUGGCCAGGCUGUCUCCACCCGAGACUCAGUGAAAUUGAACUCGCUGUGAAGAUGCAGUGUACCCGCGGCAAGACGGAAAGACCCCGUGAACCUUUACUAUAGCUUGACACUGAACAUUGAGCCUUGAUGUGUAGGAUAGGUGGGAGGCUUUGAAGUGUGGACGCCAGUCUGCAUGGAGCCGACCUUGAAAUACCACCCUUUAAUGUUUGAUGUUCUAACGUGGACCCGUAAUCCGGGUUGCGGACAGUGUCUGGUGGGUAGUUUGACUGGGGCGGUCUCCUCCUAAAGAGUAACGGAGGAGCACGAAGGUUGGCUAAUCCUGGUCGGACAUCAGGAGGUUAGUGCAAUGGCAUAAGCCAGCUUGACUGCGAGCGUGACGGCGCGAGCAGGUGCGAAAGCAGGUCAUAGUGAUCCGGUGGUUCUGAAUGGAAGGGCCAUCGCUCAACGGAUAAAAGGUACUCCGGGGAUAACAGGCUGAUACCGCCCAAGAGUUCAUAUCGACGGCGGUGUUUGGCACCUCGAUGUCGGCUCAUCACAUCCUGGGGCUGAAGUAGGUCCCAAGGGUAUGGCUGUUCGCCAUUUAAAGUGGUACGCGAGCUGGGUUUAGAACGUCGUGAGACAGUUCGGUCCCUAUCUGCCGUGGGCGCUGGAGAACUGAGGGGGGCUGCUCCUAGUACGAGAGGACCGGAGUGGACGCAUCACUGGUGUUCGGGUUGUCAUGCCAAUGGCACUGCCCGGUAGCUAAAUGCGGAAGAGAUAAGUGCUGAAAGCAUCUAAGCACGAAACUUGCCCCGAGAUGAGUUCUCCCUGAGACUUAGAGUCUCCUGAAGGAACGUUGAAGACGACGACGUUGAUAGGCCGGGUGUGUAAGCGCAGCGAUGCGUUGAGCUAACCGGUACUAAUGAACCGUGAGGCUUAACCUU